CCUACGGGUGGCAGCAGUGGGGAAUAUUGCACAAUGGGGGAAACCCUGAUGCAGCAACGCCGCGUGGGUGAAGGAGCGUUUCGGCGCGUAAAGCCCUGUCAGCGGGGAAGAAGAAAGACGGUACCCGACCAAGAAGCCCCGGCUAACUACGUGCCAGCAGCCGCGGUAAUACGUAGGGGGCGAGCGUUAUCCGGAAUUACUGGGUGUAAAGGGAGCGUAGACGGCGUGGUAAGUCCGAAGUGGAAGCCCGGGGCCCAACCGCGGAACUGCAUCGGGUACUGUCUGGCUGGAGUAUGGGAGGGGUGAGUGGAAUUCCUGGUGUAGCGGUGAAAUGCGUAGAGAUCAGGAGGAACACCGGUGGCGAAGGCGGCUUACUGGACCAAAACUGACGUUGAGGCGCGAAAGCGUGGGGAGCGAACAGGAUUAGAUACCCGAGUAGUC
RNAcentral lists this ribosomal RNA (441 nucleotides) under uncultured bacterium. Its description in RNAcentral is "partial 16S ribosomal RNA". It matches the Rfam family "Bacterial small subunit ribosomal RNA", at positions 338 to 795 of the family's 1533-position model. The record is from RNAcentral.